This 409-nucleotide RNase P RNA is filed under the name Ameyamaea chiangmaiensis. Its description in RNAcentral is "Bacterial RNase P class A". It matches the Rfam family "Bacterial RNase P class A". Rfam says of the family: Ribonuclease P (RNase P) is a ubiquitous endoribonuclease, found in archaea, bacteria and eukarya as well as chloroplasts and mitochondria. Its best characterised activity is the generation of mature 5'-ends of tRNAs by cleaving the 5'-leader elements of precursor-tRNAs. The record is from Rfam by way of RNAcentral. Lineage: Bacteria; Pseudomonadati; Pseudomonadota; Alphaproteobacteria; Acetobacterales; Acetobacteraceae.
CCAGACGGUCGGACGGUCGCUGUCGGGCGAUAGCGAUAUCGCCCGAUGGAGGAAAGUCCGGGCUCCAUGGGAGAACGGUGCCGGCUAACGGCCGGCGAGGGCGACCUUAGGGAAAGUGCCACAGAAAACAGACCGCCCACCGUAUGCGUGUUCGCACGGGUGCCGUGGGUAAGGGUGAAACGGUGCGGUAAGAGCGCACCGCGCUUCCGGCAACGGCGGCGGCACGGCAAACCCCACCGGGAGCAAGACCGAAUAGGAACGACCGGACCACCCCGCGUGGUUCAGGGGGUCUCCCGCCCCGUCGUUCGGGUUGGUCGCGCGAGGUGCGUUGCAAGACGCAUCCCAGAGGAAUGACCGUCUCGCCUGUUUCGCAGGCGGACAGAACCCGGCUUACAGACCGUCUGGCAAG